Molecule: ribosomal RNA, 253 nt
Filed under: uncultured bacterium
Lineage: Bacteria
Description: partial 16S ribosomal RNA
Rfam family: Bacterial small subunit ribosomal RNA
Source: RNAcentral
UACGAAGGGGGCUAGCGUUGCUCGGAAUUACUGGGCGUAAAGGGCGCGUAGGCGGAUCGUUAAGUCAGAGGUGAAAUCCCAGGGCUCAACCCUGGAACUGCCUUUGAUACUGGCGAUCUUGAGUAUGAGAGAGGUAUGUGGAACUCCGAGUGUAGAGGUGAAAUUCGUAGAUAUUCGGAAGAGCACCAGUGGCGAAGGCGACAUACUGGCUCAUUACUGACGCUGAGGCGCGAAAGCGUGGGGAGCAAACAGG